UAGGAAAAUGCUUGCUGCUAUCCCAGUG
Molecule: non-coding RNA, 28 nt
Filed under: Mus musculus (house mouse)
Lineage: Eukaryota; Metazoa; Chordata; Mammalia; Rodentia; Muridae
Source: RNAcentral